CUGCUGCCUCCCGUAGGAGUCUGGUCCGUGUCUCAGUACCAAUGUGGGGGGUUGACCUCUCAGUCCCCCUAUGUAUCGUCGCCUUGGUGAGCCGUUACCUCACCAACUAGCUAAUACAACGCAUGUCCAUCUCUGACCACCUGAGUUUUCAACCACCGAAGAUGCCUCCGGUGAUGUUAUGGGGUAUUAGUACCAAUUUCUCGAUGUUAUCCCCCUGUCAAAGGUAGGUUACAUACGCGUUACGCACCCGUCCGCCGGUCGCCGG
RNAcentral lists this ribosomal RNA (265 nucleotides) under uncultured bacterium. RNAcentral describes it as "partial 16S ribosomal RNA". The record is from RNAcentral.